RNAcentral lists this ribosomal RNA (486 nucleotides) under uncultured bacterium. Its description in RNAcentral is "partial 16S ribosomal RNA". It matches the Rfam family "Bacterial small subunit ribosomal RNA", at positions 28 to 507 of the family's 1533-position model. The record is from RNAcentral.
GAUGAACGCUGGCGGCGUGCCUAAUACAUGCAAGUCGAACGCUGGAAAUCUAGCUUGCUAGAUUGAAGGAGUGGCGAACGGGUGAGUAAUACAUAAGCAACCUACCCACGAAGACUGGGAUAAUCUCUGGAAACGGGGACUAAUACCGGAUAGGUAAUCGUAAGGCUUCUUCUGAUUAUUAAAGGUUAAAAACACUGGUGGAUGGGCUUAUGGCGCAUUAGUUAGUUGGUGAGGUAACGGCCCACCAAGACGAUGAUGCGUAGCCGGCCUGAGAGGGUGAACGGCCACAUUGGGACUGAGACACGGCCCAGACUCCUACGGGAGGCAGCAGUAGGGAAUUUUCGGCAAUGGGGGAAACCCUGACCGAGCAACGCCGCGUGAGUGAUGACGGCCUUCGGGUUGUAAAGCUCUGUUGUAAGGGAAGAACGGUAGAUAGAGAAUAUCUAAAUGACGGUACCUGACCAGAAAGCCACGGCUAACUACGUG